RNAcentral lists this transfer RNA (2178 nucleotides) under Kluyveromyces marxianus. RNAcentral describes it as "tRNA-Gly". The record is from RNAcentral. Lineage: Eukaryota; Fungi; Ascomycota; Saccharomycetes; Saccharomycetales; Saccharomycetaceae.
AUGUUUGAACUCAGCGCGCAAUUGGUGGGUCACACACAGGAUGUGAGAAAUGUGGUAGCGAUGAACGAGAGUCAAUUGGCCAGUGUCUCACGGGAUGGAAGCGUUAGGGUAUGGGAAAGGGAUGCGGAUGGAUUGUGGAAUGGUCAUAUUGCGUAUAUCUCUGAGAAAUUCGUGAAUAGUUUGACGUGGGAUGCGCAGAAUGGAUUUUUGUUCUUUGGUGGUCAAGACAUGAUAAUAUAUGGUGUGUCUGGGGUGCAUAGUAUGGACCAGGAGCCCGUGUAUGCAUUUGUAGGGCAUGAAGGUAAUGUUUGCUCACUUUCCGGAGGAUUUGACAUGUUGGUGAGCUGCUCUUGGGAUAAGACAGCGCGGAUAUGGCGUGAAGGGAAGGAAGACAAGGUUCUUAGGGGACACCUAGCAGCGGUUUGGGAUGCGAAGGUUUUGAAGGACGGCAGGGUGCUUACUGCGUCAGCAGACAAGAGUGUUAAGUUAUGGAGUGCUGAUGGACAUGUCCUGAAAAGUUUCGAUAAGUUACACUCCGAUGUGGUAAGGUGCUUGUGUGUUCUUGAAGAUGGCAACCAUUUUGUGAGUGGUUCGAACGACGGAACGUUGAAAUUGAGCAACCUUGACGGUACUGUGUUGCAUGAAUUUGUGGGCCACGAGAGUUUUGUUUAUGGUGUAAAACAGCUCCCAUCUGGUGAGAUUGUGUCCUGUGGUGAAGACAGGACUGUGCGUAUUUGGAACUUGGACGGAACCCCGAAACAGGUAAUCACGUUACCUGCGGUAUCUAUCUGGACAGUUGAUGUGUUCUCCAACGGUGACAUUGCAGUUGGUAGUAGUGAUAAAUUUAUUCGGGUGUUUACGGAGAGUGAGGAGAGACGUGCCUCUGAACAAGAUAUCGAAGAGUUACAUAAAAUGGUGGAACAUUCGUCGGUAAAUUCACAGACCAUGGGAUUCGACGAGUCCAAGCUUAAACCAUACUCAGACUUACAAAAUGCUGGUCAAAAGGAGGGUCAAAUAAUAGUGGUGAAGAAUCCCACGGGUGUCAUUGAAGCUCACCAGUGGUCCAACGGGAAAUGGGCUAAAGUCGGUGAUGUAGUUUCUGCGGCUGGUAACGACAAUAAGGUUGAAUAUGAGGGUGCGAAGUACGAUUAUGUGUUUGAUGUUGACGUCGAAGAAGGGAAACCCCCAUUAAAAUUACCUGUGAAUGCAAAUGAUAAUCCGUAUGAUGUUGCUGAAAAAUUCAUUCUAAGGUAUGAGCUUCCUCAAAGCUACCGUGAUCAAAUCGUCCAGUUUAUCGUCACAAACACGAAUUCUGCCUCUUUCGACCAAUCACAAGCAGCGCCAACAGGAGUACAGGAUACGACUGUUGGUUCUGGUGCUGUUGCUGGCUCUGGCCCUCGCCAAGACAUCAAUUACAGAAUACUACCAGUUAAACAAUAUUUGAAACUAACGUCCUUCGAUCCAGAUAGUCUAUUUAACGGUAUCGUCAAAUUAAACGAAAAGGAGAAGACUUUCGAUGAUGACGCCCUAGGGGCAAUUGGUACCGCAUUACAUGAUAUCGAUAACAACGUAGAAUUGCUCUAUGCGCAUGCAUCUAUCAUUAAAAAUCAAUGGAAUGCUAGUCACAAAACCCCAGCAUUUGAUAUCGUACGGAUCCUAGCACCAAAAUUACCCUCGAGCGAAGACUUGAGCGACUUUAUAGAGGAAGGUCUCUCUGAAGAAAAUCCAAUAUCUACAAUGCUAACCACAAGAAUGUUAGCUAACUCCUUCUCGAAUGAAAUAUGGGGUAAAGAGCUCAUGGGGAAACCAGCGGUCUAUGAUUCUAUUUUCCAACUUCUAGGAAGCGAUUACCAAAACUGCAAACCACAACAUAGGAAUAAUUUGGCAGUAGCAAUUGCAACUCUAGUCUUCAACUACUCUGUAUACAUCACAGAAACAAAUAACGUCAACGUACUCCCAAUCGUCGCUGAUGCUUUGAACACCAAGUACGGUACAUCUCCAAUGUUCCUAAACAGUGAAGAAGCUACCUACAGACUUCUCGUUGCCUAUGGGAACCUAAGCACUGUUGAACCAACUUUGCAUCAAUAUGCAAAAUCAAUCGCUUGGAUCAAGAGAGCAAAGGACAAAUAUGGUUACAUCAAACGUUUCGAAGAUAUACUAGAAGAUUUGUACAGAUGA